CUGAUUUUAAGUUUAACUAAUAGGAUUAGAUUGAAUAUUAAUGUAGGCAAAUCAUUGUGAAGGGUGAAGUUUAGUAGUGGGUAAUGAUAAAAUUAGAGAGUAAUAGUUAAAGUACCGAGAGGGAAUAUUGAAAUAAUUAGAGCAAGCAGUAAAGUAGGUGGUUGCCGUACCUUGUGUAUCAGGGCUUACCUAUUAGAUCGAAAGAAUUUAAAAUCCCGAAGUGANGAGAGGGCUAAAUUUUUAUGUUUUAUAAGGUAGUAAACUUAUAUAAAAUAAGAAUUUAGGGAUGAAAUAUUAAUCGGUCUUUAAGAUAUCUAGUUUCUCAAGAAAUGAAUUUAAUUCAGGUAUUUUAUUAUAAAUUAAUUUUUAUAGGGUAACUGGCUUUAAAAAGAGUAAUGUCGUGGGGGAUGAGCUCCGCGAUAAAACUAUAACUAAUAUCAUGAAAAGUUAAGUAGGCUUGAAAUUAGCCACCUGGGGAGUAUGUUUUAAUUCAGCUUUAUCAAAAAUGAUUUUAAUUAGUUUAGGGCUUGUAUUGGGAUGUAUACUUAAAUGUUAAAGUAUAGAAAUAAUGAUAAGAUUAGUAAAAAUUAAGGUAGAGUGAUUUAAUGGGCAGAUUUAAGUAAGGAACUCGGCAAAAUUGUGCUCGCCUGUUUAUCAAAAACAUCGCCUCUCGGGGUGAUGAGAGGUCUGACCUGCCCACUGAUAGUUGAAGGGCCGCGGUAUUUUGACCGUGCAAAGGUAGCAUAAUCAUUAGUCUUCUAAUUAAAGGCUGGAAUGAAUGGUUGGACGAGGUACAAGCUGUCUCACUUGAAACAUAAUUGAAUUUAACUUCUUAGUGAAAAGGCUGAGAUGGAGUUGGAGGACGAGAAGACCCUAUAGAUCUUUAUAAUGUAUAAUUUCAGCGGGUUUGGAAUGAAUUUGGCUGGGCUUAAAAAUUAUUUUGUUGGGGUGACGGGAAAAUAAUAAUAACUUUUCUUUAUUGGGUACAUAGAUUUAUGAAUGAAUGAUCCGUUAAACGAUUAUAAGACUAAGUUACCUUAGGGAUAACAGCGUAAUCUUCUUCGAGAGUUCUAAUCGACAAGAAGGGUUGCGACCUCGAUGUUGGAUUAAGAGAUACUUUGGGUGCAGAAGUUCAAAGUUUAGGUCUGUUCGACCUUUUAACUCUUACAUGAUCUGAGUUCAGACCGGCGCAAGCCAGGUCGGUUUCUAUCCUCAAUUAAAUUCUGCGCCUUAGUACGAAAGGACCGGGCCCGAGAGUUAAACUUUUAAAGUUGAAUAAUAAUA
This 1284-nucleotide ribosomal RNA is filed under the name Isonychia sp. XL-2019. RNAcentral describes it as "16S ribosomal RNA". It matches the Rfam family "Bacterial large subunit ribosomal RNA", at positions 582 to 2733 of the family's 2925-position model. Lineage: Eukaryota; Metazoa; Arthropoda; Insecta; Ephemeroptera; Isonychiidae. The record is from RNAcentral.